GUGACCCCAGGUCAGGCGGGAUUACCGCUGAGUUAGCAUAUC
RNAcentral lists this ribosomal RNA (42 nucleotides) under Acourtia runcinata. Its description in RNAcentral is "25S ribosomal RNA". The record is from RNAcentral. Lineage: Eukaryota; Viridiplantae; Streptophyta; Magnoliopsida; Asterales; Asteraceae.